GGUUUGAUGGUGUAGCUGGUUAUCACGUCUGUCUCACACACAGGAGGUCCCCGGUUCGAGCCCGGGUCAAACCA
This 74-nucleotide transfer RNA is filed under the name Omphalotus olearius VT 653.13. Its description in RNAcentral is "tRNA-Val (CAC) (tRNA-Val-CAC-1-1)". It matches the Rfam family "tRNA". From Rfam's summary of the family: Transfer RNA (tRNA) molecules are approximately 80 nucleotides in length. Their secondary structure includes four short double-helical elements and three loops (D, anti-codon, and T loops). The record is from RNAcentral. Lineage: Eukaryota; Fungi; Basidiomycota; Agaricomycetes; Agaricales; Omphalotaceae.